Molecule: non-coding RNA, 326 nt
Organism: Pelobates cultripes (western spadefoot toad)
Lineage: Eukaryota; Metazoa; Chordata; Amphibia; Anura; Pelobatidae
Source: the annotation of a GenBank genome assembly
GCUUCAUCAAGUCUGCCAGGGAUUACAUGAAGACAAAGAAGCAAAUGAGACUGCCUAAGUCCACAGAAGUACAAGAUGUUUCAACAACCCACCUGCCAAGUUCCUUACAAACUGUGCACAACUGUACAUAGAAGAAUUGAUGCUGUUUUGAAGUGAAAGGCUGGUCACAUCAAAUAUUUAUUUGACUUACUUUCUUCUUCUGUGCACUUACUUUGCAUGUUAUUAAUUGAUAAAAAAAAUUAUUUAUUGAUAGUGAUGUCCCGAACGGUUCGCCGAACGGUUUGCGAAUGGUUCGCCACGAACGGUUCGCCAUGGACUCAUUAUUG